AUUGCAAAGUUUUAAUAUUGAUAUUUCUUUCCAUGCUUAUUUUUGCAUGACUAGAGCUAAUUUUCAGAUUAAGCAUGCCCAGCAUCUUACACCUGGGAUUGCAGACCGGUUUGGUGAACUAGGGAUUAUUGCUUCAGUACAGAAUUUGGAAAUAUCUUGUCUUGAAAAGAAUUUGGAUAUGAGACUCGGUGUAGUCACCAAAGAAACUAAACCUAGUCUAACUGUAAGUCUUCUAUAUAUCAUAUUAACUGAAAUCUAGCUUUCUAGAGACUACAGAGAUAUUGAUUACUGCUAAAUUAUUCAUGCUAUAUUAUAGGAAGAUGACAUGCUAUUUAACUGAAACUAAUCUAGAUUUUUGAUGAACACUUAGAAUCUUGUGCAACUGGGAUAUCUAACUGAAACUAAUCUAGAUUUCUGAUGUUUUGACAAUACUAAUUAACUAAAAGCUUCUGCAGCAAUACCUGCUAGGUUGUGUGUUUUGCUUUAAUGGGCAUUGAGUGUGGUAAAUACUGUUCUUUUCCUGUGUACUGUGUUAUGUUUGUUUCUUGCCACGUUAAUGCUCUUGUCUCUUAUCAUUUGCCCAGGGUUGUUGAGAUCAUCUGCACUUUGGUCAGGAAAUUAUCUCCUAAUCCUAAUAGUGCUGCUAUAAUGGCCAUGGGUGUUAACAUCUUGGCAAAGAGAUUGAAAUGAUUGGGGUUCUUGAUUGAGUUUCUAUCCCAU
Molecule: long non-coding RNA, 720 nt
Organism: Humulus lupulus (European hop)
Lineage: Eukaryota; Viridiplantae; Streptophyta; Magnoliopsida; Rosales; Cannabaceae
Exons: 3
Source: RefSeq, a predicted model, not a curated record